UACGUAGGGCGCAAGCGUUGUCCGGAAUUAUUGGGCGUAAAGAGCUCGUAGGCGGCCUGUUGCGUCCGCUGUGAAAUCCCGGGGCUCAACCCCGGGCCUGCAGUGGAUACGGGCUGGCUAGAGGCAGGCAGGGGAGAACGGAAUUCCUGGUGUAGCGGUGAAAUGCGCAGAUAUCAGGAGGAACACCGGUGGCGAAGGCGGUGCUCUGGGCCUGUACUGACGCUGAGGUGCGAAAGCGUGGGGAGCAAACAGG
Molecule: ribosomal RNA, 253 nt
Filed under: uncultured bacterium
Lineage: Bacteria
Description: partial 16S ribosomal RNA
Rfam family: Bacterial small subunit ribosomal RNA
Source: RNAcentral